UAAUAAAAGUGUUUUAUGGCACUUUUCAAACAAAUCCAUAUCCACCUUGUGUGCAAUGUUUUUUUUUUUAAAUAAACACUUUUUUUUAAUCGCCAAUUUUUCUGAAAAUCAGUAUUAUUAUGAAUUGACUUAAUUCAAAAUA
RNAcentral lists this unclassified non-coding RNA (142 nucleotides) under uncultured Mortierellomycotina. RNAcentral's name for it is "sequence contains ITS1". The record is from RNAcentral. Lineage: Eukaryota; Fungi; Mortierellomycota.